UACGUAAGGACCGAGCGUUGUCCGGAAUCAUUGGGCGUAAAGGGUACGUAGGCGGCUAGAAAAGUUAGAAGUCAAAGGCUAUAGCUCAACUAUAGUAAGCUUCUAAAACUAUUUAGCUUGAGAAAUGGAAGGGAAAGUGGAAUUCCUAGUGUAGCGGUGGAAUGCGCAGAUAUUAGGAAGAAUACCGGUGGCGAAGGCGACUUUCUGGCCAUUAUCUGACGCUGAGGUACGAAAGCGUGGGUAGCAAACAGGAUUAGAUACCCUGGUAGUCCACGCCGUAAACGAUGAGUGUUAGGUGUCUGGAGUCAAAUCUGGGUGCCGCAGCAAACGCAUUAAACACUCCGCCUGGGGAGUACGCACGCAAGUGUGAAACUCAAAGGA
RNAcentral lists this ribosomal RNA (381 nucleotides) under uncultured bacterium. Its description in RNAcentral is "bacterial SSU rRNA". It matches the Rfam family "Bacterial small subunit ribosomal RNA", at positions 524 to 908 of the family's 1533-position model. The record is from RNAcentral.